RNAcentral lists this long non-coding RNA (1824 nucleotides) under Homo sapiens (human). Its description in RNAcentral is "HSALNT0029483". Lineage: Eukaryota; Metazoa; Chordata; Mammalia; Primates; Hominidae. The record is from RNAcentral.
AACAAAUAUAAAUCAGCAAUUUUGGGGCAUACGCCAAUAGGAACACUGACACCUCUGGCAGCCAGGCCAAGCAGAGGGCUUCUGUAACAGUGAGAGGCAAGGAGUCAAGGCUCAGAGCUGCCUUUGCACAAGAAACAUCCCAGUGAUGCAAGUGACCUGCAGGAUUCACUGGUGCCCCACAGAGCUGCACAAGCUGGCCCAGGAUUUGGAGAAGCAGAAGAUUCGACAAGACCAAUAAGGGCUGUGGACUCAGCUGCUGUUUCACGCUCACAAGGUGGCCAGGAGACCAGCAAUUGUGUGCUUGAGCCCACAUCAACCUUCAGAGCAUAGAAAUGGCUGCUAUUUCACUUCCACUUCCAAAUCUCAUGAACUCCUCUUAUGGCCAACCCUAGCCUAGAACAGUACAAGAAAGGGAAUUCUGAAAAUUCCUUAGUAUUUCUGGUUAAAGUGAUGUACAUAGGCACCAAACUCACGUAAGGAUAGCCUCUCCCAUAGGAAUGUGGCCAAGCUUACACAAGUGUACAGCAGGGUUGGAGGUCUCCCUGGCCCCUUCAGUUCUACUGCUCAUGUCUUUCCCUGCCUUUAGGGCUAGCAGCAAAUGAUGCAAGUGUGUGCUGGUGUGGGUAAAAAUCCAGGGCUCCAGGCGGAGGGCUGUCUUGCUAUAGACACAAAUCUCUUUGAGGAUAGACUUGUAUUCCCAGCAAAAACCUGGUCCCUGCGGGAAGGGAAUGGAGCCAAGAAUGCAUAUAGACAUCUGAGCGUCUCCAAACGUGGCUGAGAGCAGGGGUUAUUGGAAUGUACUUCUUUUUUUUUUUUUUUUUUUUGAGACAGAGUCUUGCACUGUUACCCGGGCUGGAGUGCAAUGGCACAAUCUUGGCUCACUGCAACCUCCACUUCCUGUGUUCAAGCAAUUCUCCUGCCUCAGCCUCCCAAGUAGCUGGGAUUACAGGUGCCUACCAUUAUGUCCAGCUAACUUUUUGUAUUUUUAGUGGAGACGGGGUUUCACUGUGUUGGCCAGGCUGGUCUCAAACUCCUGACCUCAUAAUCUGCCCACCUUGGCCUCCCAAAGUGCUGGGAUUACAGGCAUCAGCCACCAUUCCCGGCCAGGGAUGCACUUCUUACAGGCAGCAGAAAUAGCCCCUCUCUACCCCAAACUCCGUUUAGAAUUUGAGUUCACCACAGAUUAUGUAUAAAAAUCAACAUUAACAAUAAUGAUAACUAAUAUUUUGAUAGUGAUUAGUAUUUGCCAGGCACUAUUACAAAUAUUUUAUAUACACACCACUUUAACUCAUGUAACAAAUCCAUCAGCACUAAUGGACUAGGCCCUGCUUGGUUAAAAAAAGAAAAGGUGACAACCACAGACUAAUACUAUUUAGGUAUAAGUUACCACAGAUGAUUUCAAGAUUUGACAUUACGUUUUUUAAAAACUUUCAUCUUAUCAAGAGCUAUUUUCAUGGAAAUGGAGUUUCACUGAACAAGAAUAUUGUAAUCUGCCAACAAGGUCGAAGUACCCUAAGCUUCUCCCGUCAAGAGACGGAGUCUAUUUCUCACCCCUUGAGUCUGGGCUGGCCUGUGACUUGCUUUGGAAUGCCAUGCAAGUGACAGCUCACCAGUUUUGAGCAUAGCCCUCAAGAGACUUUAUAGCUUCAGUUCUCUCUUAAAAUCUAGUUUUGCCACAUGGGACAAGCCUAAAAGAAAAGACACUACAUGGAGAGAGGCCCCAGAUCAUCCUGGCUGAGGCCCCAGACAAGUGAGUGUGUCCAGGGAACAACAGCCAAGCUUAGCCCAGACUGAAAGGACCUCCCAGCUAAGCCCAGAAUCAGG